This is a non-coding RNA of Frankia sp., 88 nucleotides long. The record is from Rfam. NCBI's taxonomy places the organism in Bacteria, Bacillati, Actinomycetota, Actinomycetes, Frankiales, Frankiaceae.
GGAGAGGUUUCCGUAGCGGCCUAACGGGGCCCGGGCUUCGGUCUGGGAGGAUCUCUGAUCCACGUAGGUUCGAAUCCUGCCCUCUCCG